UACGAAGGGGGCGAGCGUUGUUCGGAAUCAUUGGGCGUAAAGGGUGCGUAGGCGGCGCGGUAAGUCGGGUGUGAAAUCUCGGGGCUUAACUCCGAAACUGCAUUCGAUACUGCCGUGCUUGAGGACUGGAGAGGAGACUGGAAUUUACGGUGUAGCAGUGAAAUGCGUAGAGAUCGUAAGGAAGACCAGUGGCGAAGGCGGGUCUCUGGACAGUUCCUGACACUGAGGCACGAAGGCCAGGGGAGCAAACGGG
Molecule: ribosomal RNA, 253 nt
Filed under: uncultured bacterium
Lineage: Bacteria
Description: partial 16S ribosomal RNA
Rfam family: Bacterial small subunit ribosomal RNA
Source: RNAcentral